UACGGAGGGUGCGAGCGUUAUUCGGAAUUACUGGGCGUAAAGCGCGUGUAGGCGGUUUUGCAAGUCUGAUGUGGAAGCCCUGGGCUUAACCCGGGAAGUGCAUUGGAAACUGCGGGACUUGAGUACCGGAGAGGAAGGGGGAAUUCCCGGUGUAGAGGUGAAAUUCGUAGAGAUCGGGAGGAAUGCAAGGGGCGUAGGCGCCCUUCUGGACGGUUACUGACGCUGAGACGCGAAAGCGUGGGGAGCAAACAGG
This 253-nucleotide ribosomal RNA is filed under the name uncultured bacterium. RNAcentral describes it as "partial 16S ribosomal RNA". It matches the Rfam family "Bacterial small subunit ribosomal RNA", at positions 524 to 776 of the family's 1533-position model. The record is from RNAcentral.